UGAAAAUGAGUCUGUAUACAAGGCU
This 25-nucleotide non-coding RNA is filed under the name Cricetulus griseus (Chinese hamster). The record is from RNAcentral. Lineage: Eukaryota; Metazoa; Chordata; Mammalia; Rodentia; Cricetidae.